RNAcentral lists this long non-coding RNA (1061 nucleotides) under Strigops habroptila (Kakapo). Its description in RNAcentral is "lncRNA (ENSSHBG00005003259.1)". Lineage: Eukaryota; Metazoa; Chordata; Aves; Psittaciformes; Psittacidae. The record is from RNAcentral.
UUUUUUUUUUUUUUGUGUGUGUGUGUGCGUGUGUGUGUGCGUAAAGUUUUCCUGAAGCUGAUGAAUGCCUGAACACAUCAGCCCUAUAACCUCUGGUGCUUCAGUGUUUAAGACAGCAGGUAGGAAAUUUCCCACUUGAAGCUGGUGACUGAAGGACCAGUUUCCUCCGGAAGGAGUGUUAGGCUACAGUAAGCAGUUUGAAAAGAAAGGGUUUGCAAAAAUUUGCCUUUAUAUGUCAUUCUUAAAGACAAGCGUAUUCCUUCAAUGCCUCCAAGAGCACAGUUAGAAGUAGAAUCCAGGCAGCUGGGCUGCCUUCCAAGUACUGUGGUCUCCGAAUGACCUUUUCCCGGUGUGCUGCAAAAGGGCUUGGCUUUAUUUUCUUCCUUUCUUUGCACCCCGAGCGCAGCACACUGGAGUUAAGAUGACAAAAAAGAACAGGGCUCUCCUUGGCCAGCGUGCCUUCAAGCUUCAGCGAUGCAUGUUGAACAAAUGGAGACGAGAGCUCCGUCCAUUGUGAAGGGAUGACUUACUAUGUAGAUGUGGAAGACCUGUGCAGUAUUUUUGUUUUAAAUCCAAAAGUUUGGUGCGAUUCUAAUGUUGACCACUUCAAAGAAAUGAAUGUCUGUUUUUCUUUUUCUUUUUUUUUAUGGUGCCAACUGGCUACUGUACAAUGUCUGUGAGCGUGUGUGUGUGACUGCAAUCCAUGCAUGCAAGUCCUACUGGUAAUAUGAAAACCUGCUGUAAGACUGCAAGAAAAUUUACUGUAGCUUUGCUUUAAUAAAUGGUAGAGAUUUUGUUAGUAACAACCUGAAGGAAAAACAAAGAGCUGAAACUAACAUUCCCUGGAGUGCUCGUGUGGAAGAGAGCACAGUUCACACUAUGUAUCUUGUUCUCGGGUUUUCUCCCCGGCCCUUUUAUAAUUAUGGUCAUCCAGAUCAUUACUGUUAUGGGGGGAAAAGAAAAUUGAAAACUGAACUCAGACGUACUCAGAUUUGAUUGAUUGAAAACCAAAAUCAGUUUUAAAUAAGGUGGAAACCAAAAUAUAAUGCCUUUUCUGAUAA